CUGAGUUUACUGCUCAUAACCCUUUGUGAACCUACCUAAAUCGUUGCUUCGGCGGGCGCUUCCCCCCUGUGGUGGGAUGCCCCGGCCCCUAUGGGUGCCCGCCGGAGGUCUACAAACUCUUGUUUUCAGCAAUGUCUCUUCUGAGUGGCACAAGCAAAAAUAAAUUA
RNAcentral lists this unclassified non-coding RNA (167 nucleotides) under uncultured Sordariomycetes. RNAcentral describes it as "sequence contains ITS1". Lineage: Eukaryota; Fungi; Ascomycota; Sordariomycetes. The record is from RNAcentral.